AUGAACAGGACAAUUGUGGAGAGAGUUGGAUGCUUAUUAUCAAGUGCAAAGCUACGUAAACACUUUUGGGGUGAGGCUUUGAUGACUGCAGUUUAUCUUAUUAAUCACUCACCAAGUUAUCCUUUGCAGGGAGAUGUUCCUAACAGGGUCUGGUGUGACAAGGACGUAUCAUAUGACCACCUGAAAGUUUUUGGGUGCAAGGCCUUUGUUCAUAUUCCUCAAGAUGAAAGGUCAAUGCUUGAUUCGAAGACACGGCAGUGUAUUUUUUUUGGUAUGGUGGUGAUAUCUUUCUUGGCUAUGGUGGUGAUGAGUUUGGCUACAAGCUGUUUGACCCUAUAG
RNAcentral lists this ribosomal RNA (339 nucleotides) under Triticum aestivum (bread wheat). Its description in RNAcentral is "partial small subunit ribosomal RNA". The record is from RNAcentral. Lineage: Eukaryota; Viridiplantae; Streptophyta; Magnoliopsida; Poales; Poaceae.